Molecule: ribosomal RNA, 255 nt
Filed under: uncultured bacterium
Lineage: Bacteria
Description: partial 16S ribosomal RNA
Rfam family: Bacterial small subunit ribosomal RNA
Source: RNAcentral
GACAGAGGUGCCGAGCGUUAGGCGGAAUCACUGGGCUUAAAGCGUGUGUAGGCGGACUUCUAAGUACCUUGUGAAAUCCCACGGCUUAACCGUGGAACUGCUUGGUAUACUGGUUGUCUUGGGCCAUCUAGGGGCUACCGGAACAAACGGUGGAGCGGUGAAAUGCGUAGAUAUCGUUUGGAACGCCAAUGGUGAAAACAGGUAGCUGGGGGAUGUGCCGACGCUGAGACACGAAAGCCAGGGGAGCGAACGGGG